CCGCGAUUUCCCGUAAAUCCCGGGCUUGGCCCGUAUAGUCGAAUGUAUACAAAGAAAGUACCCUGUGAGUAAACUCAUCUCCAGAACGAUUUUUUAAAUUAUUUUUUCACCACUAAAGUCCAUGAGACUUGUAGUUUUUAAAAAUGUGUUCAUUUUUGAUGAGACGCUGAAUAAAAGAAGUUUAAUCGCCGGCAAACGAAAACCCGCGACUUCUCGUAAAUCCCGGACCCGGCCCGUAUAGUCAAAAGUAUACAAACAAAGUACCCAGGGAGUAAACUCAUUUCCCGAACGAUUUUUUAAAUUAUUUAUUCACCACUACAACCCAUGAGACUUGUAGUUUUCAAAAAUGUUUUCAUUUUUGAUGAGACGCUUAAUGAAAGAGGUUUAAUUGCCGGCAAACGAAAACCCGCGAUUUCCCGUAAAUCCCGGGCUUGGCCUGUAUAGUCGAAUGUAUACAAAGAAAGUACCCUGUGAGUAAACUCAUCUCCAGAACGAUUUUUUAAAUUAUCUUUUCACCACUAAAACGCUUGAGACUUGUAGUUUUCAAAACUGUUUUCAUUUUUGAUGAGACGCUGAAUAAAAGAAGUUUAAUCGCCGGCAAACGAAAACCCGCGCUUUCCUGUAAAUCCCGGGCUUGGCCCGUAUAGUUAAAUGUAUACGAAGAAAGUACCCUGUGAGUAAACUCAUUUCCAAAACGAUUUUUUAAAUUAUCUUUUCACCACUAAAACGCUUGAGACUUGUAGUUUUCAAAAAUGUUUUCAUUUUUGAUGAGACGCUGAAUAAAAGAAGUUUAAUCGCCGGCAAACGGAAACCCGCCAUUUCCCGUAAACCCCGGACCCGGCCCGCGUAGUCAAAAGUAUACAAAGAAAGUACCCAGGGAGUAAACUCAUUUCCCGAACGAUGUUUUAAAUUAUUUUUUCACCACUAAAACGCAUGAGACUUGUAGUUUUCAAAAAUGUUUUCAUUUUUGAUGAGACGCUUAAUGAAAGAGGUUUAAUCGCCGGCAAACGAAAACCCGCGAUUUCCCGUAAAUCCCGGGCUUGGCCCGUAUAGUCGAAUGUAUACAAAGAAAGUACCCUGUGAGUAAACUCAUCUCCAGAACGAUUUUUUAAAUUAUUUUUUCACCACUAAAGCCCAUGAGACUUGUAGUUUUUAAAAAUGUGUUCAUUUUUGAUGAGACGCUGAAUAAAAGAAGUUUAAUCGCCGGCAAACGAAAACCCGCGACUUCACGUAAAUCCCGGACUCGGCCCGUAUAGUCAAAAGUAUACAAAGAAAGUGCCCAGGGAGUAAACUCAUUUACCGAACGAUUUUUUAAAGUAUUUUUUCACCACUACAACGCAUGAGACUUGUAGUUUUCAAAAAUGAUUUCAUUUUUGAUGAGACGCUGAAUAAAAGAGUUUUAAUCGCCCUCAAACGAAAAUCCGCGAUUUCCCGUAAAUCCCGGACUCGGCCCGUAUAGUCGAAUGUAUACAAAGAAAGUACCCUGUGAGUAAUCUCAUCUCCAGAACGAUUUUUUAAAUUAUUUUUUCAUCACUAAAACGCAUGAGACUUGUAGUUUUCAAAAAUGUCUUCAUUUUUGAUGAGACGCUGAAUAAAAGAAGUUUAAUCGCCGGCAAACGAAAACCCGCGAUUUCCCGUAAAUCCCGGGCUUGGCCCGUAUAGUCGAAUGUAUACAAAGAAAGUACCCUGUGAGUAAACUCAUUUACAAAACGAUUUUUUAAAUUAUAUUUUCACCACUAAAACGCAUGAGACUUGUAGUUUUCAAAAAUGUUUUCAUUUUUGAUGAGACGCUUAAUGAAAGAGGUUUAAUCGCCGGCAAACGAAAACCCGCGAUUUCCCGUAAAUCCCGGGCUUGGCCCGUAUAGUCGAAUGUAUACAAAGAAAGUACCCUGUGAGUAAACUCAUCUCCAGAACGAUUUUUUAAAUUAUUUUUUCACCACUAAAGCCCAUGAGACUUGUAGUUUUUAAAAAUGUGUUCAUUUUUGAUGAGACGCUGAAUAAAAGAAGUUUAAUCGCCGGCAAACGAAAAUCCGCGACUUCCCGUAAAUCCCGGACUCGGCCCGUAUAGUCAAAAGUAUACAAAGAAAGUACCCAGGGAGUAAACUCAUUUACCGAACGAUUUUUUAAAGUAUUUUUUCACCACUACAACGCAUGAGACUUGUAGUUUUCAAAAAUGAUUUCAUUUUUGAUGAGACGCUGAAUAAAAGAAUUUUAAUCGCCCUCAAACUAGGCUGUUUAGUCACGUGAUCAAAAGCCGUAGAAUUUUUUUUGCCGUAGCGAACUCGCAUACCGUAGACAGAUUUUCCCGAGAUUUUAUACGUAUGUGCCUAUCCAAAGCUAUUUUCCGACUAUGUUUUUCCUUAUUAGGCAUUUUUCGAUAGGCACCUCUUUGCACAGAAUAGGCCGAGGUUUGUUUUGAUUGAUGAUAGAAGUUUGUAGCUGUUAACGUUGAAGAGUUACAGGAUUUUGAAUUUUAAGAAUUUGACUUCAAGAUAUCUUGGCCAAACAUCUGAAUGCAGUGGUUGUACAGUUAAACGUGUUUAUAUACUUUGUAAAAAAAAUGGUAUUUCUGGCAUGACUAUAAAAUGCUUAUAUUAUGUCAAUGACUUUAUAUUAAAGUUUUUAUUUGGCUUAAUUUUAUGAUUUUGAUAUUUGUUUCUUUCUGGAUUUUUGCCCAUCUCUCUACAGUAUUUAACAGCCUGGUCUGCAAAACAUCAAUAAUUUUUUAUAGUUUAAUUUACUGUUUUUAUCACAAUUCUGUUAAUUAACCUAUACAAACUUCGCAGAUGGCUUAUAUACCUGGUUUCCUUUUUAGUUCUUACCCCCGUCUUUUUUAAAUUUAACAGUCUGGUCUGUAAAUUACACAUAUUUAUCACAUGAUAUUUUUUGUAGUUUUAAUUACUGUUUUACCAUGGUUCUGUUUUUUUCAAUUUAAUGCAACUUCGCCAACAAUGGCUUAUUUAAAACUGGUUUCUUUUUAGUUUUACCCCCGUCUUUCUCUAUUUAACUGUCUGGUCUGUAAAAUACACACCUUAUCACGUGAUAUUUUUUGUAGUUUUAAUUACUGUUUUAUCACAGCAAUUUAAUGCAACUUCGCCAAUGCCUUAUUUAUAACUGGUUUCUGUUUAGUUUUACCCCCGUCUUUCUCUAUUUAACUGUCUGGUCUGUAAAAUACACAUAUUAUCACAUGAUAUUUUUUGUAAUUUGAAUUAUAUACUGUUUUAUCACAGUUCUUUUUUUUAUUAAUUUAAUGCAACUUCGCCAAUGGCUUAUUUAUUACUGGUUUCUUUUUAGUUUUACCCCCGUCUUUCUCUGUUAACAGUCUGGCCUGUAAAAUACACAUCAUAUCACGUGAUAAUUUUAUAGGUUUUCUUCUUUUAAGUUCUAGUGACGUUUAUAGUUACUUAUUUCUAGUUACGUGAUAGGAUUACUUUUCAUUUUCAUGUUAGUUUUUACCGUUAUUUUACCAAUGUUAUGUAUAUUUUACCAUAUAUGGAAAAAGUAAAAAUGGCGGCAUAAUGACGUCAGAUAUGAAAAAAAAAAUUGCAAAUGUCUUUCUUAGCAUAAAUUUUACCAACCCUAAAAUUUUCAUUCUAUAAUGUUUAGUUAUACCAAAGUUAUUGUACACGUAGCAAAGGUCUCAAAAUGAGUUUAAAAACAGUCGUUUUGGUGCCAAAAAUGUUCUACUUGGAAUGCACUUAUUUUUUCUAAUUUUUGCUACCAAUUACGCAUACUAAAAUAGCCAUAACUUUUGAACUAUUUAUCGUAGAAGGAAGUUUGACCCCUCGUUGAAUGUCAAAUGGCCCAGCCAUUCUGAAAACAAGAACAUUAUAGACUCCUACACAAAGCUUUAAAACUCCCGAAAGUGCCUACUCAAACGAAAAUCCGCGAUUUCCCGUAAAUCCCGGACUCGGCCCGUAUAGUCAAAAGUAUACAAACAAAGUACCCAGGGAGUAAACUCAUUUCCCGAACGAUUUUUUAAAUCAUUUUUUCACCACUACAACCCAUGAGACUUGUAGUUUUCAAAAAUGUCUUCAUUUUUGAUGAGACGCUGAAUAAAAGAAGUUUAAUCGCCGGCAAACGAAAACCCGCCAUUUCCCGUAAACCCCGGACUCAGCCCCUAUAGUCAAAAGUAUACAAAAAAGGAAGUACCCAAGGAGUAAACUCAUUUUCCGAACGAUUUUUAAAUUAUUUUUUCACCACUACAACGCAUGAGACUUGUAGUUUUCAAAAAUGUUUUCAUUUUUGAUGGGACGCUGAAUAAAAGAAGUUUAAUCGCUGCCAAACGAAAACCCGCGAUUUCCCGUAAAUCCCGGACUCGGCCCGUAUAGUCAAAA
This is a long non-coding RNA of Hydractinia symbiolongicarpus, 4337 nucleotides long. RefSeq lists it as uncharacterized. The record is from RefSeq and is a predicted model, not a curated record. The transcript has 2 exons. Lineage: Eukaryota; Metazoa; Cnidaria; Hydrozoa; Anthoathecata; Hydractiniidae.